Molecule: ribosomal RNA, 661 nt
Filed under: Siphonostomatoida sp. DZMB630
Lineage: Eukaryota; Metazoa; Arthropoda; Copepoda; Siphonostomatoida
Description: partial 18S ribosomal RNA
Source: RNAcentral
UAUUGGAACUUUAUACUUUUUAAGAAGUUUAUGGUCUGGGAUGGCAGGACUAGGAAUAAGAUUUAUUAUUCGUCUUGAGCUCAGACAACCCGGGCUCAUAUUAAUUGAUGGUCAAAUUUAUAAUGUUAUUGUUACUGCUCAUGCAUUUGUUAUAAUUUUUUUUCUUGUCAUGCCAGCUUUAAUUGGAGGAUUUGGAAAUUGGUUAGUUCCUAUUAUGCUAGGAGCUCCAGAUAUAGUUUUUCCCCGAAUAAAUAAUAUAAGAUUUUGAUUUCUUAUACCAGCUCUUACUAUACUUUUAUUAAGAUCAAUUUUAGAGUCAGGGGCCGGCACUGGUUGAACAGUGUAUCCUCCUUUGUCGUUAAAAGAUUCGCACAGAGGAAAAUCUGUGGAUAUAGCUAUUUUUGCUCUUCAUUUAGCAGGAAUUUCUUCUAUUUUAGGGGCUAUCAAUUUCAUUAGAACUAUUUAUAAUAUACGUCCUAUAAAAAUAUCAAUAGAUUUAGUGCCCAUACUACCUUGGUCAGUUCUUAUUACUGCUAUUCUUUUACUUUUAUCUUUACCUGUCUUAGCGGGGGCAAUUACUAUAUUAUUAACAGAUCGUAAUUUUAAUACUUCUUUUUUUGAAACUGGAGGAGGGGGAGAUCCAGUUUUAUACCAACACUUA